AUACGGAGGGUGCAAGCGUUAAUCGGAAUUACUGGGCGUAAAGCGCGCGUAGGCGGCUUGGUAAGUCGGAUGUGAAAGCCCCGGGCUCAACUUGGGAAUUGCAUUCGAAACUGCCGAGCUAGAGUAUGGGAGAGGGAAGUGGAACUUCCGGUGUAGCGGUGAAAUGCGUAGAUAUCGGAAGGAACACCAGUGGCGAAGGCGACUUCCUGGCCCAAUACUGACGCUCAGGUGCGAAAGCGUGGGGAGCAAACAGGAUUAGAAACCCCGGUAGUCC
RNAcentral lists this ribosomal RNA (274 nucleotides) under uncultured bacterium. RNAcentral describes it as "partial 16S ribosomal RNA". It matches the Rfam family "Bacterial small subunit ribosomal RNA", at positions 523 to 796 of the family's 1533-position model. The record is from RNAcentral.